Small nuclear RNA from Bison bison bison, 123 nucleotides. The record is from Ensembl. Lineage: Eukaryota; Metazoa; Chordata; Mammalia; Artiodactyla; Bovidae.
GUUGGACAUGACUUAGCGACUAAAACAACAACAACAAAUACUAAAAUUGGAAGGAUACAGAGAAGAUCAGCAUGACUCCUGCACAAGGAUGACAUGCAAAUUUGUAAAGCAUUUCAUAUAUAU